Molecule: ribosomal RNA, 485 nt
Filed under: uncultured bacterium
Lineage: Bacteria
Description: bacterial SSU rRNA
Rfam family: Bacterial small subunit ribosomal RNA
Source: RNAcentral
GAUGAACGCUAGCGGCAGGCUUAAUACAUGCAAGUCUAGGGGGCAGCAAUGUCACCGGCAGACGGGUGCGUAACGCGUAUGCAACCUUCCCCCACCAGGGGUAUAGCCUGUGGAAACACGGAUUAAUCCCCCAUAACGCAGGGUGGCCCGCAUGGGUCUAUUUGCUAAAGGAUUUCCGGGUGGGGAUGGGCAUGCGUCCCAUUAGCUAGUUGGCGGGGUAACGGCCCACCAAGGCUACGAUGGGUAGGGGCCCUGAGAGGGGGGGUCCCCCACACUGGCACUGAGACACGGGCCAGACUCCUACGGGAGGCAGCAGUAGGGAAUAUUGGGCAAUGGGCGGCAGCCUGACCCAGCCAUGCCGCGUGUGCGACGAAGGCCCUCGGGUCGUAAAGCACUUUUAUUCGGGAAGACACGCGGGGUGCGCCCCGCUAUGACGGUACCGAAGGAUAAGCACCGGCUAACUCCGUGCCAGCAGCCGCGGUAAU